UUGAAGAGUUUGAUCAUGGCUCAGAUUGAACGCUGGCGGCAGGCCUAACACAUGCAAGUCGAGCGGUAGCACAGAGAGCUUGCUCUCGGGUGACGAGCGGCGGACGGGUGAGUAAUGUCUGGGAAACUGCCUGAUGGAGGGGGAUAACUACUGGAAACGGUAGCUAAUACCGCAUAACGUCGCAAGACCAAAGUGGGGGACCUUCGGGCCUCAUGCCAUCAGAUGUGCCCAGAUGGGAUUAGCUAGUAGGUGGGGUAACGGCUCACCUAGGCGACGAUCCCUAGCUGGUCUGAGAGGAUGACCAGCCACACUGGAACUGAGACACGGUCCAGACUCCUACGGGAGGCAGCAGUGGGGAAUAUUGCACAAUGGGCGCAAGCCUGAUGCAGCCAUGCCGCGUGUGUGAAGAAGGCCUUCGGGUUGUAAAGCACUUUCAGCGGGGAGGAAGGCGUUAAGGUUAAUAACCUCAUCGAUUGACGUUACCCGCAGAAGAAGCACCGGCUAACUCCGUGCCAGCAGCCGCGGUAAUACGGAGGGUGCAAGCGUUAAUCGGAAUUACUGGGCGUAAAGCGCACGCAGGCGGUCUGUCAAGUCGGAUGUGAAAUCCCCGGGCUCAACCUGGGAACUGCAUUCGAAACUGGCAGGCUAGAGUCUUGUAGAGGGGGGUAGAAUUCCAGGUGUAGCGGUGAAAUGCGUAGAGAUCUGGAGGAAUACCGGUGGCGAAGGCGGCCCCCUGGACAAAGACUGACGCUCAGGUGCGAAAGCGUGGGGAGCAAACAGGAUUAGAUACCCUGGUAGUCCACGCCGUAAACGAUGUCGAUUUGGAGGUUGUGCCCUUGAGGCGUGGCUUCCGGAGCUAACGCGUUAAAUCGACCGCCUGGGGAGUACGGCCGCAAGGUUAAAACUCAAAUGAAUUGACGGGGGCCCGCACAAGCGGUGGAGCAUGUGGUUUAAUUCGAUGCAACGCGAAGAACCUUACCUGGUCUUGACAUCCACAGAACUUAGCAGAGAUGCUUUGGUGCCUUCGGGAACUGUGAGACAGGUGCUGCAUGGCUGUCGUCAGCUCGUGUUGUGAAAUGUUGGGUUAAGUCCCGCAACGAGCGCAACCCUUAUCCUUUGUUGCCAGCGGUCCGGCCGGGAACUCAAAGGAGACUGCCAGUGAUAAACUGGAGGAAGGUGGGGAUGACGUCAAGUCAUCAUGGCCCUUACGACCAGGGCUACACACGUGCUACAAUGGCAUAUACAAAGAGAAGCGACCUCGCGAGAGCAAGCGGACCUCAUAAAGUAUGUCGUAGUCCGGAUUGGGAGUCUGCAACUCGACUCCAUGAAGUCGGAAUCGCUAGUAAUCGUAGAUCAGAAUGCUACGGUGAAUACGUUCCCGGGCCUUGUACACACCGCCCGUCACACCAUGGGAGUGGGUUGCAAAAGAAGUAGGUAGCUUAACCUUCGGGAGGGCGCUUACCACUUUGUGAUUCAUGACUGGGGUGAAGUCGUAACAAGGUAACCGUAGGGGAACCUGCGGUUGGAUCACCUCCUU
This 1537-nucleotide ribosomal RNA is filed under the name Klebsiella pneumoniae. RNAcentral describes it as "bacterial SSU rRNA". It matches the Rfam family "Bacterial small subunit ribosomal RNA". The record is from RNAcentral. Lineage: Bacteria; Pseudomonadati; Pseudomonadota; Gammaproteobacteria; Enterobacterales; Enterobacteriaceae.